AGAGUUUGAUCCUGGCUCAGAGCGAACGCUGGCGGCGUGCUUAACACAUGCAAGUCGAACGAGGGCCGUAGCAAUACGGCUACUCGUGGCGAACGGGUGCGUAACACGUGGAUAACCUUCCUUCAGGUGGGGAAUAACCCAGUGAAAAUUGGGCUAAUACCGCAUUACAUUACGAGGGCACAUGCUCUUGUACUCAAAGC
RNAcentral lists this ribosomal RNA (200 nucleotides) under uncultured bacterium. RNAcentral's name for it is "partial 16S ribosomal RNA". It matches the Rfam family "Bacterial small subunit ribosomal RNA", at positions 8 to 207 of the family's 1533-position model. The record is from RNAcentral.